Non-coding RNA from Helianthus annuus (common sunflower), 213 nucleotides. The record is from Rfam. Lineage: Eukaryota; Viridiplantae; Streptophyta; Magnoliopsida; Asterales; Asteraceae.
ACGACUUUACUUGAACAGGAUCUGUUCUAUAGGCUUGUAUCUCUGUAUUUUUUACUCCUAAGAAGGCAGAAAUCCAUGUCUGGUUGAUGAGCCAUAAUCAUGGAACCAGAGCGUGAUUAACAGAGCCCUAUGGUCUUGACCAAGGCUCGGUAGAGGAUCGUUGCCAGCCCAUCUGAUGGGUCAUGGCAUGGUUCCAUAGUUGUCUGACAGACA